UGGGGAAUCUUGCACAAUGGGGGCAACCCUGAUGCAGCGACGCCGCGUGAGCGAUGAAGCCCUUCGGGGCGUAAAGCUCUUUCGACCGGAACGAUAAUGACGGUACCGGGAGAAGAAGCUGCGGCUAACUACGUGCCAGCAGCCGCGGUAAUACGUAGGCAGCAAGCGUUGUUCGGGGUUACUGGGCGUAAAGAGUGCGUAGGCGGUUUUCUAAGUUCGGUGUGAAAUCUCCCGGCUUAACUGGGAGGGUGCGCCGAAGACUGGGAAGCUGGAGUGUGGGAAAGGCAGGCGGAAUUCCUGGUGUAGCGGUGAAAUGCGUAGAUAUCAGGAGGAACACCGGCGGUGUAGACGGCUUGCUAGGCCAUAACUGACGCUGAGGCACGAAAGCGUGGGUAGCAAACA
This 402-nucleotide ribosomal RNA is filed under the name uncultured bacterium. RNAcentral describes it as "bacterial SSU rRNA". It matches the Rfam family "Bacterial small subunit ribosomal RNA", at positions 355 to 774 of the family's 1533-position model. The record is from RNAcentral.